GAGUUUGAUCUUGGCUCAGAUUGAACGCUGGCGGCAGGCCUAACACAUGCAAGUCGAGCGGUAGAGAGAAGCUUGCUUCUCUUGAGAGCGGCGGACGGGUGAGUAAUGCCUAGGAAUCUGCCUGGUAGUGGGGGAUAACGCUCGGAAACGGACGCUAAUACCGCAUACGUCCUACGGGAGAAAGCAGGGGACCUUCGGGCCUUGCGCUAUCAGAUGAGCCUAGGUCGGAUUAGCUAGUUGGUGAGGUAAUGGCUCACCAAGGCGACGAUCCGUAACUGGUCUGAGAGGAUGAUCAGUCACACUGGAACUGAGACACGGUCCAGACUCCUACGGGAGGCAGCAGUGGGGAAUAUUGGACAAUGGGCGAAAGCCUGAUCCAGCCAUGCCGCGUGUGUGAAGAAGGUCUUCGGAUUGUAAAGCACUUUAAGUUGGAGGAAGGGCAGUAAAUUAAUACUUUGCUGUUUUGACGUUACCGACAGAAUAAGACACCGGCUAACUCUGUGCCAGCCGCCGG
RNAcentral lists this ribosomal RNA (514 nucleotides) under uncultured bacterium. RNAcentral's name for it is "bacterial SSU rRNA". It matches the Rfam family "Bacterial small subunit ribosomal RNA", at positions 9 to 518 of the family's 1533-position model. The record is from RNAcentral.